UGACAAGGCAGAUGGCUUUUAUAAUCUGGUGAGAGGUGAUCAAAUAUAUCAGUGUUCUGAUGUGUGACAGGAAAAACAUAUCUGUAUUUCUACAUAUCUGUAUUUCUCACUCAAAAUGAAAUCGGACAGGAACUGUGUGUGUCACUGACAGCUCCUCAGAGGAAGAAAUGUACAAGAGAAAAGCAAGGCGUGUGUGCGAGUAGCUGAAGGCAGAGACUUCCAGAUGCAGGGAAAGGUUCAGUGAGGAGGCUGUGCUGAGAAGACAGGUCAGCAAGUACAGGACUCAAAACAAAGUCAUAACAACCUUAUUGAAGCUUGUGGAGUUUUGCAGCAUAGAAAGUAAAGGCAAGUACUCCAAAAUAACGAGGAAAAUGUCAUCAUUUCUCAGUAUG
RNAcentral lists this long non-coding RNA (392 nucleotides) under Fukomys damarensis (Damara mole-rat). RNAcentral describes it as "lncRNA (ENSFDAG00000022191.1)". Lineage: Eukaryota; Metazoa; Chordata; Mammalia; Rodentia; Bathyergidae. The record is from RNAcentral.